Molecule: ribosomal RNA, 477 nt
Filed under: Triticum aestivum (bread wheat)
Lineage: Eukaryota; Viridiplantae; Streptophyta; Magnoliopsida; Poales; Poaceae
Description: partial small subunit ribosomal RNA
Source: RNAcentral
AUGGGGUUUGUUAAACUAAAUGUGGAUGCAUCUUUUGGUCAUCAUCUACUGAGGGGCACCGCUGGCGCAGUACUCAGAGAUGACAAAGGAAAAUUUAUUGUUGGCAGAAGCUGGAAGAUUGAAUGGUGUGCUGAUGCUCUAACAGCAGAAGCUCUAGCUUUGAGAUCCAGAUUAUCUCUUGCACAAAAGGCGGGAUGCAAUCGUCUUGUUAUUAACUCUGAUAAUAUGGAAGUGAUCGAGACAAUGAAGAAUGGAGGACGGUCGGCGGGAGCAACGACGUCAGCGUUUGAUGAUUGCUACUUUUUGGCUUGUAACUUUCCUCUCACUAAGUUCGAACAUUGUAAUAGGGAAGCGAACAUGGUUGCUCAUGCAAUUGCUAGGCUAGGAAAAUUUUCUGCACCAAAUUCUUGGUUUGAGGAGCCAGUCGACGAUAUUGUAGCACUUUUAAUAGACGAUGUAACCGUUAUUUCCAAUUAA